CCAAAGGACUUGACGGUGUCCCACCCAACUAGAGGAGCCUGUUCUAUAAUCGAUAAUCCACGAUAUACCUAACCACUUCUUGCCAAUCAGUCUGUAUACCUCCGUCGUAAGCUUACCGUGUGAACGCACAAUAGUAGGCCCAAGGGCUUUAACGCCACAACGUCAGGUCAAGGUGCAACCCAUGAAGUGGAAGCUAUGGGCUACAAUUUCUAACCUAGAACAAACGAAAUACUACAUGAAAUAUAGUCAUGAAGGAGGAUUUAGUAGUAAGUAGGAAAUAGAGAGUCCUACUAAACCCGGCUCUGGGACGUGUACAAACCGCCCGUCACCCUCUUCGAUAGCCUUUCAUAUAGUCCCUAACACCAUCCCGCGUCUUAGAAGAGGUAAGUCGUAACACGGUAAGUAUACUGGAAAGUGUACUUGGAA
This 426-nucleotide ribosomal RNA is filed under the name Rhacophorus bipunctatus (Himalaya flying frog). Its description in RNAcentral is "12S ribosomal RNA". It matches the Rfam family "Bacterial small subunit ribosomal RNA", at positions 901 to 1522 of the family's 1533-position model. Lineage: Eukaryota; Metazoa; Chordata; Amphibia; Anura; Rhacophoridae. The record is from RNAcentral.